Phoenix dactylifera (date palm) is the source of this 940-nucleotide non-coding RNA. NCBI's taxonomy places the organism in Eukaryota, Viridiplantae, Streptophyta, Magnoliopsida, Arecales, Arecaceae. The record is from RefSeq and is a predicted model, not a curated record.
CGAUGCCUGAAAAGUUGGAACGUUUGUUUUCAUGAUUCCUCUAAUAUCAUAGGGGUUAAGUGAAAAAAAUUGGGAAAUUUCAGGGUAAGGAGAAAAAAAAAAGGGAGCUCCGAUUCGCGGGGGCGGUUCUCCUCGCCGAAUUGGAUGGGCGAUUUCAGGGUAAGGAAACCAGAUCAAACCUUCUCGUCCGUAUUCGUCCUCCCUUGCGGAGAGUUUGGUCCUAAAGGCUGGAGUUCAAGCCUCCUCCGUGCCCUUUGCUUCGUCUUUCUUCACCUCGAAAUGAGUCGACCAUGUCUUGGACUGAACGCAGCUUGGCAUUAGUUUCUGGACCCAAUGGUGGCUCCCCAAAUCCGCAAAAUCCUUUCUUGCUGCAAAUUAGAAGGCUUAUUACCUCUGCUUCCACCCGGAAGUCCUUCAUGGAUCAGUUUUUGGUCGAUAAAUGACCUCGUAUGUUCCGAUUUUUCGUGAAAUCAGAUUUUUGAGAGGAAGCCAAUCAAGUUCAAGAACCAUGGCAUCUGGCUGAGGUACCAGAGUAGGACAGGCUACCAUAAUAUGUACAAGGAAUACAGGGAUACCGCACUGAAUGGUGAGCGCUAUGGAUCAGAUGUGCAACAAGAUGGCUUCACGUCGUCGCUUGAGGUACCACUGCAUCCGGAUCAUCAAGACAGCCACCAUCCCUGCUAAGCUCUGCAAGCGCGAGAACACCAAGCAUUUCCAUGACUCCAAGAUUGGAUCCCUCUCGCCUUUAGGAGAGUAAGCCCCCCCUACCAGGAAGCUCAAGACCACCUACAAGGCGCCCCACACCAACUUCUUCAUGCAGAGGGGUCAGGCUGGAUGCAUUUCUCAAAUCUUUGUUUUUGGACGUGCUUGCGUUCAUAACUUUAUUUCUAUGGAUGGAUGGAUUCUGUCAUAGCAUCUGAAGCAAAGUCAGGUUUUUUUA